This 200-nucleotide ribosomal RNA is filed under the name uncultured bacterium. Its description in RNAcentral is "partial 16S ribosomal RNA". It matches the Rfam family "Bacterial small subunit ribosomal RNA", at positions 28 to 239 of the family's 1533-position model. The record is from RNAcentral.
GAUGAACGCUAGCGGCGGGCUUAAUACAUGCAAGGCGAAGGGGCAGCAAUGUCACUGUCGUACGGGUGCGUAACGCGUAUGCAACCUACCUAUCACUGGGGGAUAGCCCGGGGGAAACCCGGAUUAAUACCGCAUAACACAGGGGCUCCUCAUGGAGAUAUUUGUUAAAGAUUUAUCGGUGGUAGAUGGGCAUGCGUUCG